This 71-nucleotide transfer RNA is filed under the name Junonia terea. Its description in RNAcentral is "tRNA-Lys". Lineage: Eukaryota; Metazoa; Arthropoda; Insecta; Lepidoptera; Nymphalidae. The record is from RNAcentral.
CAUUAGAUGACUGAAAGCAAGUACUGGUCUCUUAAACCACACUAUGGUAAUUUAGCACUUAUCUCUAAUGA